RNAcentral lists this ribosomal RNA (447 nucleotides) under uncultured bacterium. RNAcentral's name for it is "partial 16S ribosomal RNA". It matches the Rfam family "Bacterial small subunit ribosomal RNA", at positions 29 to 523 of the family's 1533-position model. The record is from RNAcentral.
AGCGAACGCUGGCGGCAGGCUUAACACAUGCAAGUCGAGCGCCCCGCAAGGGGAGCGGCAGACGGGUGAGUAACACGUAGGAACGUGCCUUUUGGUUCGGAACAACCCAGGGAAACUUGGGCUAAUACCGGAUAAGCCCUAACGGGGAAAGAUUUAUCGCCAAAAGAUCGGCCCGCGUCUGAUUAGCUAGUUGGUGGGGUAAUGGCCCACCAAGGCUACGAUCAGUAGCUGGUCUGAGAGGAUGAUCAGCCACAUUGGGACUGAGACACGGCCCAAACUCCUACGGGAGGCAGCAGUGGGGAAUAUUGGACAAUGGGGGCAACCCUGAUCCAGCCAUGCCGCGUGAGUGAUGAAGGCCUUAGGGUUGUAAAGCUCUUUUAGCAGGGAUGAUAAUGACGGUACCUGCAGAAAAAGCCCCGGCUAACUUCGUGCCAGCCGCUGCAGUAA